CAUCGGUUAAAGAUACCACCCAUGGAUGGAGGAAAAGUACUUCCAGAGAAAAUGCCACAUCUACAUAUGAGAUAGAUAAGGCAAGUGAAAAUGAUACCACACUUCGGUACUUAGAAGUUUCGUGAUUACUCACUGGCUUGGAUCUUGCAAGUCUCCAACCGAGGAGCUUCCCUUACUCGGGAACUUAGGGGAGCACUGUUUGUACCAUACUUGAGCAAUUCCGAAACUACUGUGUACCGGUCAACGUUAUACCAUCAAGGACCCAUAAGAGUUUCCCUUUAACCAGGAUGCUAAUCACAGCGCGACACAUGUCGACAUCAGAAGCCAACAUAGUGCAACACGUGUUAACAUCAGAAGCCAAUCACAACACGACACAUGUCAAUGUCAGAAUGAAAUUAGAAACUCUCUUCUAUAAAUAGAGAUCAUUCUCUCAUAAUAUUUCCUAAUGUCAUUUGUACUAAAUCAUUCACUUGUACUCACUAAAGGAGAGCUUGAACCUAUGUACUUGUGUAAACCCAUCACAAUUAAUGAGAACUCCUCUACUCCAUGAACGUAGCCAAUCUUGGUAAACCACAUACAUCUUGUGUUUGCUUCCCUAUCUCUAUCCAUUUACAUAUUUAUCCAUACUAGUGGCUGGAGCAAUCUAGCGAAGGUCACAAACUUAACACUUUCUGUUGUACCAAAGUCCUCAUUGAUUUUGUGCAUCAACAAAAGACAAUCUUGGUUUUUCCAAUUUCUCUGGUAGUUCAUAUGAGGAAGUAAGUACUAUCUGCUUUCACAGAGAUCUAUAUUUUUAUUCACAUUCUGAAUGUGAAGUACUUUCUCUUCUCUCAUUAAUCUUCUACUUUUUAUUAGUCACUCUUUUACAAUGGUUGCAAAACAUAGUUACUAGAAUCAAACAUUCAAACAGAAGAACCAACUAUUUUGAAAAUUUUUAAAAACAAUUUACAACACCUUUGAAAGGUGUGUUCUCGACACUUGCAAGACGAUGGUUGCAAAUAACCUUUCCAAUGUCCAUCAUUUUAUAAAGAAAGUUUUGUUCCCUUGGAGUUAUUUUGCCUUCUUCAUUGGACUUCUCCUCUGAUUACAAUAGUAAUGGUCCCUAAACUCCCAUUGUCUCUCUUGAGACUUAUUUCAAUUAUGUUAUACACAUCAAACAAUUUGGAGAGUGUGUGGUUGUUGUUCACUAUAUAGUUUACAAUAAGCUUAGUGAACCAUUUGCAUAGGACACAAAGGUGAAGUCCUAGCUUAGUUUCCAUCCAGUGAAGUGGUUUAACACUUUCAACACUUAAUGAUUCAAAAUCAUCAUUAGUGCAUAUUGAUGGACUAUUUUUGUUAAACAACCAUCUUAUUCUAAACAAGAUUACAAACGUUCAAGAGUUGUUCAAGGCAAGUCUCACUUCUUCAUACAACAAUUUGUAAGUGAAGAAUCAUGGCACAUAAACUGUCCAUGCCUUUGUGCUUACUUCUCAAGUUCCUUGUUCAUUUAACGAAGAAACAAGCACUAUUAUUUGUGUUAACUAAGGGUUAUUCAAAGCAACUCUUAUUUCUUCAUACAAUGAUUUGUAAUUGAAGAAUUAUGGCACUUGGAGUGUCCAUGUCUUUGUGCUAAUCUUCUCAAGUUCCUUUGUUCAUUUAACAAAGGAAUAAGCACAUAGUGUUUGUGUUAUCCUCUUUAUGAUAGACAUAAAUAACAUGUUCUUCCAAUGAUACAUUAUCAAUAGGAAGAUUGUGAGGAGUAGGUACAUAUCCAAUCAAUCCAAGACAAUCUAUGGGAUUGUGGUACCAAGUAUGGAAACUAAAGCCUUCCGUUUUUCUUUGUCAAGUUUUGGAUAGCGCUUGCAAAUAUAUCAGUAAAUAAAUAAAUAACGAAUAUAAAUUGAUUGAUUUUAAGAUAUUUGAUCCGGGUCUUAUAAUCAAAUAGCACCACCCAUUAUUUUGUCAAAUUUCAUAUCCCUCAUUGGAAUCCCGGAGUUUUGGAGGAAACUCUUAGUAUGAUAAGAGCAUAUUUAUGCGACUUUGUUAUCUUAUUUCUUUGCGAUUACUUAGUUAAUUUCCAUUUAUUUUGGUAUUUUAAGUUAUUUUCAUAUUAUUGUAGGUCGAAUUGGUAAAGAUGACAAUAAAUGGCAAAAUGGAGCAAUUUGGAGCAGUUUUGGACUUGGAUUGGACAGCAGGGUUGGAUAGCAUAUGGGCUGACGUUUUUGGUGUUUAAAUGGUGCUAGAUAUGUGCUAAAAUCUGGUGAAAUUAAAGUUGAGGCUUGGAAGACAAGGAAUUACACAAGAAAGAGGAAUUCUAGUUGGAGAUGAACCUUAUCUUAUCCUAUAUUAUCCAAUCUUAUCUUAUUUUAUCUCCAACUGCAAGGAGGAAUAUUUAUCACAUUCCAACACUUCCUAUCUAAUUCUAGGAGUCCUAAAUAAUUCAAACAACCUAAUCUUUUUCCUCCUGGGAUUCAGCUGUGCCUUUACCCUAUAUAUACAUUAUUGCCGCAAAUUAGAGAGGGGAGGAGUGUGUCGUAACCUGCAAUCAUCCAUUGAAGUCGCUGGAGUUUUUUGGGUUCUUUCUAUCUUUAUUUUAAGUUUCAAUGUUUAUUUUAGAUUAUUUUUCAGUUAUGAUGAACAUGCGUAACUAAGUUUCUUUUUAGCUAGAGGUGAAUUCGAAGCCAUGAUCAUAUGUUUUAUAUAAAUUGAUUACAUCCAGUUAUUAUUUCAUAAAACAUGAAUGCGAUUUACUUAUCUGCUUUAUAGAGAACUUAUUAUUUUGUGUUUAUUAAGGGUACACACUUAGUUUGCAUG
This 2793-nucleotide long non-coding RNA is filed under the name Malus domestica (apple). RNAcentral describes it as "long non-coding RNA (MDOM_LNC013881)". Lineage: Eukaryota; Viridiplantae; Streptophyta; Magnoliopsida; Rosales; Rosaceae. The record is from RNAcentral.